Molecule: ribosomal RNA, 843 nt
Filed under: Pseudomonas sp. SH-2-06
Lineage: Bacteria; Pseudomonadati; Pseudomonadota; Gammaproteobacteria; Pseudomonadales; Pseudomonadaceae
Description: bacterial SSU rRNA
Rfam family: Bacterial small subunit ribosomal RNA
Source: RNAcentral
UACACAUGCAAGUCGAGCGGAUGACAGGAGCUUGCUCCUGAAUUCAGCGGCGGACGGGUGAGUAAUGCCUAGGAAUCUGCCUGGUAGUGGGGGACAACGUUUCGAAAGGAACGCUAAUACCGCAUACGUCCUACGGGAGAAAGCAGGGGACCUUCGGGCCUUGCGCUAUCAGAUGAGCCUAGGUCGGAUUAGCUAGUUGGUGAGGUAAUGGCUCACCAAGGCGACGAUCCGUAACUGGUCUGAGAGGAUGAUCAGUCACACUGGAACUGAGACACGGUCCAGACUCCUACGGGAGGCAGCAGUGGGGAAUAUUGGACAAUGGGCGAAAGCCUGAUCCAGCCAUGCCGCGUGUGUGAAGAAGGUCUUCGGAUUGUAAAGCACUUUAAGUUGGGAGGAAGGGCAGUAACUUAAUACGUUGCUGUUUUGACGUUACCGACAGAAUAAGCACCGGCUAACUCUGUGCCAGCAGCCGCGGUAAUACAGAGGGUGCAAGCGUUAAUCGGAAUUACUGGGCGUAAAGCGCGCGUAGGUGGUUUGUUAAGUUGGAUGUGAAAGCCCCGGGCUCAACCUGGGAACUGCAUUCAAAACUGACAAGCUAGAGUAUGGUAGAGGGUGGUGGAAUUUCCUGUGUAGCGGUGAAAUGCGUAGAUAUAGGAAGGAACACCAGUGGCGAAGGCGACCACCUGGACUGAUACUGACACUGAGGUGCGAAAGCGUGGGGAGCAAACAGGAUUAAAUACCCUGGUAGUCCACGCCGUAAACGAUGUCAACUAGCCGUUGGGAGCCUUGAGCUCUUAGUGGCGCAGCUAACGCAUUAAGUUGACCGCCUGGGGAGUACGGCCC